AGUGAACGCUGGCGGCAGGCCUAAUACAUGCAAGUCGAACGGCAGCACGGCAGAGCUUGCUCUGUGGGUGGCGAGUGGCGGACGGGUGAGGAAUACAUGGGAAUCUGCCCAGCCGUGGGGGAUAACGUAGGGAAACUUACGCUAAUACCGCAUGCGCCCUUCGGGGGAAAGCCGGGGACCUUCGGGCCUGGCGCGAUUGGAUGAGCCCAUGUCGGAUUAGCUAGUUGGCGGGGUAAUGGCCCACCAAGGCGACGAUCCGUAGCUGGUCUGAGAGGAUGAUCAGCCACACUGGAACUGAGACACGGUCCAGACUCCUACGGGAGGCAGCAGUAGGGAAUAUUGGACAAUGGGCGCAAGCCUGAUCCAGCCAUGCCGCGUGAGUGAAGAAGGCCCUCGGGUUGUAAAGCUCUUUUGUCCGGAAAGAAAAGCGCCGGGUUAAUACCCUGGUGUCCUGACGGUACCGGAAGAAUAAGCACCGGCUAACUUCGUGCCAGCAGCCG
This 500-nucleotide ribosomal RNA is filed under the name uncultured bacterium. RNAcentral's name for it is "bacterial SSU rRNA". It matches the Rfam family "Bacterial small subunit ribosomal RNA", at positions 29 to 517 of the family's 1533-position model. The record is from RNAcentral.